ACGAGUACCCCCAACCUGUAUACAUUUAUCGAUCUUGGACUAUCGAUCUCAACAUAAAAUGUACACAACACCAAGAAUGCGUAUUUGCAUAUUUAUGUAUUAUGUAUGCAUGUAUUGUACGCCGGCGCAAUCGGAAAUAAAAUAUUUAAUGGCCGUGCGAUUAUGUAUGGAUGUGAAGGUGCUUAUAAGCCGGUGAAAAUAUAUAUAUACAUAUGGAUGUGAGCGAUGUAUGUUAUGUGGAUAUAAUUGUAAUAUGCGCAACAAAUAAACAUGUAUAUUUUCCUUGUA
Drosophila obscura is the source of this 288-nucleotide long non-coding RNA. RefSeq lists it as uncharacterized. The transcript is spliced from 2 exons. The record is from RefSeq and is a predicted model, not a curated record. Lineage: Eukaryota; Metazoa; Arthropoda; Insecta; Diptera; Drosophilidae.